AGCAGCCGCCGCGGGAAUACGAAGGGGGCUAGCGUUGUUCGGAAUUACUGGGCGUAAAGCGCACGUAGGCGGAUAUUUAAGUCAGGGGUGAAAUCCCGCAGCUCAACUGCGGAACUGCCUUUGAUACUGGGUAUCUUGAGUAUGGAAGAGGUUAGUGGAAUUGCGAGUGUAGAGGUGAAAUUCGUAGAUAUUCGCAGGAACACCAGUGGCGAAGGCGGCUAACUGGUCCAUAACUGACGCUGAGGUGCGAAAGCGUGGGGAGCAAACAGGAUUAGAUACCCCUGUAGUCCCUGUCUCUUAUAC
This 303-nucleotide ribosomal RNA is filed under the name uncultured bacterium. RNAcentral's name for it is "partial 16S ribosomal RNA". It matches the Rfam family "Bacterial small subunit ribosomal RNA", at positions 507 to 807 of the family's 1533-position model. The record is from RNAcentral.